Trametes elegans is the source of this 94-nucleotide non-coding RNA. NCBI's taxonomy places the organism in Eukaryota, Fungi, Basidiomycota, Agaricomycetes, Polyporales, Polyporaceae. The record is from the annotation of a GenBank genome assembly.
UGCCCCGUGGCUGAGUUGGUUACAGCGUCCGACUGUUACAUCAUCGAGGGUGUUGGAAAUCGGAAGGUCGUGAGUUCGAGCCUCACCGGGGCAG